CCGGGCGGCCGAGUCCUCACACCCCUCCUGCAAAAGUUUUAGUGAACGUAGACGCACCCGGCCCUGGGGCGCUCCGGGGCCAGCUGGCCUAGCCCCUCGGAUUUCGGGGUUCCUCCGGGAGAGUUGCACGCCCCGACGGCGUUUCUCUUUGUCCCCAACUCGGGAUUGGGGACUGUAAUUGAAGGAGGAGUCCAGUCAUGGCUGUAGAGUGGCCAUUGCCCUUAACAGUGGGGGCAUCUUCUGAGGAAUCACCUUCAGAACCUGAGGCACAUCAAUGCUGCUUUUGAAGGCGGAGGUGCUGUUUCGAACCACCUGGAAGUCAUUUGGAGUCCAGUGAAAGAGUCCAUUAAGGGAAAAAUAAAGGUCCGAGUGAAAAGGCAGCAGCAAAACAAAUUGAAGCGUGGAAGUGAAGAGUUCGAAAAGGAGCUGGACAAGAGAACUUCAGGCAGAAGGUAACAGCCU
Molecule: long non-coding RNA, 462 nt
Organism: Phacochoerus africanus (Common warthog)
Lineage: Eukaryota; Metazoa; Chordata; Mammalia; Artiodactyla; Suidae
Exons: 3
Source: RefSeq, a predicted model, not a curated record